This 457-nucleotide ribosomal RNA is filed under the name uncultured bacterium. RNAcentral's name for it is "bacterial SSU rRNA". It matches the Rfam family "Bacterial small subunit ribosomal RNA", at positions 29 to 524 of the family's 1533-position model. The record is from RNAcentral.
AACGAACGCUGGCGGCAUGCCUAACACAUGCAAGUCGAACGGGAUUCUAGCUUGCUAGGUGAGAGUGGCGGACGGGUGAGUAACACGUGGGAAUCUGCCUUUUGGUUCGGGAUAACCGCGGGAAACUGCGGCUAAUACCGAAUGCCCUCGAGAGAGGAAAGAUUUAUCGCCAGAAGAGGAGCCCGCGUCCGAUUAGGUAGUUGGUGGGGUAAAGGCCUACCAAGCCGACGAUCGGUAGCUGGUCUGAGAGGAUGAUCAGCCACACUGGGACUGAGAUACGGCCCAGACUCCUACGGGAGGCAGCAGUGGGGAAUAUUGGACAAUGGGGGCAACCCUGAUCCAGCAAUGCCGCGUGAGUGAUGAAGGCCUUAGGGUGUAAAGCUCUUUUGCCAGGGAAGAUGAUGACUGUACCUGGAGAAUAAGCCCCGGCUAACUUCGUGCCAGCAGCCGCGGUAAU